GAUGAACGCUGGCGGCGUGCCCAAUACAUGCGAGUCGAGCGAACAGACGAGGAGCUUGCUCCUCUGACGUUAGCGGCGGACGGGUGAGUAACACGUGGAUAACCUACCUAUAAGACUGGGAUAACUUCGGGAAACCGGAGCUAAUACCGGAUAAUAUAUUGAACCGCAUGGUUCAAUAGUGAAAGACGGUUUUGCUGUCACUUAUAGAUGGAUCCGCGCCGCAUUAGCUAGUUGGUAAGGUAACGGCUUACCAAGGCAACGAUGCGUAGCCGACCUGAGAGGGUGAUCGGCCACACUGGAACUGAGACACGGUCCAGACUCCUACGGGAGGCAGCAGUAGGGAAUCUUCCGCAAUGGGCGAAAGCCUGACGGAGCAACGCCGCGUGAGUGAUGAAGGUCUUCGGAUCGUAAAACUCUGUUAUUAGGGAAGAACAAAUGUGUAAGUAACUAUGCACGUCUUGACGGUACCUAAUCAGAAAGCCACGGCUAACUACGUG
This 497-nucleotide ribosomal RNA is filed under the name uncultured bacterium. RNAcentral's name for it is "partial 16S ribosomal RNA". It matches the Rfam family "Bacterial small subunit ribosomal RNA", at positions 28 to 507 of the family's 1533-position model. The record is from RNAcentral.